GGCCUCCCAAAGUGCUGGGAUUACAGGCGUGAGCCACCGUGCCUGGCCUGACCAGGCUGUCUUGAACUCCUGACCUCAAGUGAUCUGUCCGCCUCGGCCUCCCAAAGUGUUGGGAUUACAGAUGACUUGGCAGAUGAACUUGCUCUUGUUGAUGUCAUCGAAGACAAAUUGAAGGGAGAGAUGAUGGAUCUCCAACAUGGCAGCCUUUUCCUUAGAACACCAAAGAUUGUCUCUGGCAAAGACUAUAAUGUAACUGCAAACUCCAAGCUGGUCAUUAUCACGGCUGGGGCACGUCAGCAAGAAGGAGAAAGCCGUCUUAAUUUGGUCCAGCGUAACGUGAACAUCUUUAAAUUCAUCAUUCCUAAUGUUGUGAAAUACAGCCCGAACUGCAAGUUGCUUAUUGUUUCAAAUCCAGUGGAUAUCUUGACCUACGUGGCUUGGAAGAUAAGUGGUUUUCCCAAAAACCGUGUUAUUGGAAGUGGCUGCAAUCUGGAUUCAGCCCGAUUCCGUUACCUGAUGGGGGAAAGGCUGGGAGUUCACCCAUUAAGCUGUCAUGGGUGGGUCCUUGGAGAACAUGGAGAUUCCAGUGUGCCUGUAUGGAGUGGAAUGAAUGUUGCUGGUGUCUCUCUGAAGACUCUGCACCCAGAUUUAGGGACUGAUAAAGAUAAGGAACAGUGGAA
Molecule: small RNA, 680 nt
Filed under: Pongo abelii (Sumatran orangutan)
Lineage: Eukaryota; Metazoa; Chordata; Mammalia; Primates; Hominidae
Description: retained intron
Source: RNAcentral